CAAGUCGAGCGAGAUCCGGUCCUUCGGGACCGGGGAAAGCGGCGAACGGGUGAGUAACACGUGGGUAAUCAACCCUCGGUACCGGGAUAGCCCGAGGAAACUCGGAUUAAUACCGGAUGGCCCAGCAGCUCUUCGGGGCGGCUGGGAAAGGUAGCUUCGGCCUCCGACCGAGGACGAGCCCGCGGCGGAUUAGCUUGUUGGCGGGGUAAUGGCCCACCAAGGCGACGAUCCGUAGCUGGUCUGAGAGGACGAUCAGCCACACUGGGACUGAGACACGGCCCAGACUCCUACGGGAGGCAGCAGUGGGGAAUCUUGCACAAUGGGCGAAAGCCUGAUGCAGCGACGCCGCGUGAGGGAAGAAGGCUUUCGGGUUGUAAACCUCUUUCAGGAGGGACGAAGCUACUCGGGUUAAUAGCCCAGAGGGUGACGGUACCUCCAGAAGAAGCCCCGGCUAACUACGUGCCAGCAGCCGCGGUAAUACGUAGGGGGCAAGCGUUGUCCGGAUUUAUUGGGCGUAAAGAGCGUGUAGGCGGCCAGAUAGGUCUGUUGUGAAAACUCGAGGCUCAACCUCGAGACGCCGAUGGAAACCAUUUGGCUAGAGUCCGGAAGAGGAGAGUGGAAUUCCUGGUGUAGCGGUGAAAUUCGUAGAUAUUCGCAAGAACACCAGUGGCGAAGGCGGCUCACUGGCCCGGACCUGAC
Molecule: ribosomal RNA, 699 nt
Filed under: uncultured soil bacterium
Lineage: Bacteria
Description: bacterial SSU rRNA
Rfam family: Bacterial small subunit ribosomal RNA
Source: RNAcentral